CAGCGCCAUCUGGCGGGCGCGCCCCGCGCUGCAGGCGUAGAGGCGUCCGUGCGGCUCCGCCGCGUCUCCUCCCGCCUGGCUGGGGGCUCGAGCUCGCCUCUCCGGCCUCUCUCCCCGGCCCUUGAAGCCUCCGCCGGGCCCCGGAGAGGAGGACACGGAGCGGAGCAGGGGCAGGGGCUCCAGCCCUUCCCGGCCCCGGCGGCGCUGCUUCAGGACUCCCCCGGAAAGCGACGCUCGAGGCUCCGGAACGCCCAGGGCACACCCCUCGGCAGGGCGACCGCCCCCGGGGCCGCUGCGGCCACUCGGGGCGCGUCACCGUCGGGCCCUUCGGGGGCUUUCUCAGUCCCAGCCUGUGACCUCGUUACCCCACCGCCAGGUCCGGGCCGUCUCAGCCUCCGUCCCCAGCUCCCGGCCUCUGCCUUUCGGAAAGGGGCAGGUCGCCGGGCCGCGGGGAGCGCGAAGGCCCGGCAGGCGUCGCCAGCACGGGCUGUGGCCCCCGCAGCCUGGAGCCCGCUGUCCGGCGUCCCGGCCCUUCUCUGGACUCCGUCUUCGCUCUUUCUGGCUGUGCUUCUGGGGCCCGUAGUUGGGCAGAACGGGGUCCGGGUUUUCCUGGAUCGGGGGAUCUGCUUGGAUGCUCCCAGGGACAGGCAGUUCGCUCUCUAUCAGGGCUGACCCCGCUGCCCGAGGAGCCCCUGGAGCUUCCAAGCUGCUGGCAGUGUGUGAGAGCACAAGAGCCCACUGCAGACUGGGGACCCCCAGGGAGGGAACCCCGCUCAUCAGAGUCCACCAGGAAUGCUUCUCUGCCUACUGGCUGCCCUGGCACCUGGAACCCACCAUUCCUACGUUGAAGCGCCAACCCCGGUGUGGUGUGCUUGAAGGUGGGGCCGUCGGCAGGUGAUCGGGUCAGAUGAGGUCAUGAGGGUGGGCCCCCACGAAGGCGUUUGUGCCCCGGUAAGAUCGGACGGCAGAGCUCCCCGCACCACCAGAUUUUCCUGUUCUCUCGCCUCUUCACCUGCCUGCCCAGCCCGCUCACGUUCCCUUUCCUGUCGGGUCAGAAAGCCGGAAGGCGGGGGCCGGUGGGACGGCAGCAGGGGCCAGGCCCUGGAAGGAGGCGGGAUCGCUGACCCCACCUUGUACGGGGUCUUUGCCAGCAGACUGCGACCUCCCGGGGCUGCCACGUGAAUGGACACCAGUGCUGGAUGAAUCUCAUAUUUGGGGCAGAAUUAAUUUAAAAAAUAAAGAUGGUGGGUUAAUUACAAAACCACA
Long non-coding RNA from Lutra lutra (Eurasian river otter), 1266 nucleotides. RefSeq lists it as uncharacterized. The transcript is spliced from 4 exons. Lineage: Eukaryota; Metazoa; Chordata; Mammalia; Carnivora; Mustelidae. The record is from RefSeq and is a predicted model, not a curated record.